Molecule: ribosomal RNA, 253 nt
Filed under: uncultured bacterium
Lineage: Bacteria
Description: partial 16S ribosomal RNA
Rfam family: Bacterial small subunit ribosomal RNA
Source: RNAcentral
AACGUAGGACACAAGCGUUAUCCGGAGUUACUGGGCGUAAAGGGCGUGUAGGCGGAUCGGUAAGUCUACUCUGAAAGCUCCUGGCUAAACUGGGAGAGGCGAGUGGAGACUGUCGGUCUAGAGUGAGGAAGAGGAAAGUGGAAUUCCGCGUGUAGUGGUGAAAUGUGUAGAGAUGCGGAGGAACACCAGUGGCGAAAGCGGCUUUCUGGUCCUUAACUGACGCUGAGGCGCGAAAGCAUGGGGAGCGAACGGG